AUUGAACGCUGGCGGCAGGCCUAACACAUGCAAGUCGAACGAGUGGCGGACGGGUGAGUACUGUCUGGGAAACUGCCUGAUGGAGGGGGAUAACUACUGGAAACGGUAGCUAAUACCGCAUACCAUCAGAUGUGCCCAGAUGGGAUUAGCUAGUUGGCGGGGUAACGGCUCACAAAGGCGACGAUCCCUAGCUGGUCUGAGAGGAUGACCAUCCAGGCGGGAACUGAGACACGGGCCAGACUCCUACGCGAGGCAGAAGUGGGGAAUAUUGAACAAUGGGCGCAAGCCUGAUGCAGCCAUGACGCGUGUAUGAAGAAGGCGUUCGGGUUGUAGAGUACUUUCAGCGGGGAGGCGUUACCCGCAGAAUAAGCACCGGCUAACUCCGUGCCAGCAGCCGCGGUAAUUC
This 406-nucleotide ribosomal RNA is filed under the name uncultured bacterium. RNAcentral describes it as "partial 16S ribosomal RNA". It matches the Rfam family "Bacterial small subunit ribosomal RNA", at positions 30 to 526 of the family's 1533-position model. The record is from RNAcentral.